This 537-nucleotide long non-coding RNA is filed under the name Homo sapiens (human). RNAcentral describes it as "HSALNT0310988". The record is from RNAcentral. Lineage: Eukaryota; Metazoa; Chordata; Mammalia; Primates; Hominidae.
AGAAUUAACAGUCCUGCUUUCAUGCCUUUGCUUGCCACCCAGCUUAGCCUCUUAUCUCAGCUUCUGAAACAUUCUUCAAUCUUCUGAAGGUGGCAGCUGUUAAUACAGAACUUGAUGAGGAAGAUGCCAGCAUCUCACCUGGAAUUCACAAAACCCUAGCCAGCCCUAACUCACAAGGGCCUGCACACCCUUUAAUCCAGCAAAAUUAACUCAAGAGCAUGUGGGACCUGAAAUCCAGUCUCUGCAUAUUAUUGCAAGUGCUUCAAGCAAAGAAAAGAACCUGAUUUCACAUUUGAGAUGCAUUUUAAACCAAAGGUCUGUUCUGGUACCUCCACAAGGAAGCAUCAAUCGGACCACAGAAAAUUUACAUCCAGGGAUUUGUCUUCUGGAAUGGAUCUCACUGACCUACAAGAAUUGAAUUUGCCCGUGUCUUCACAACACCUUGUUAGUGGUAUCAAAUCAGGAGAUUGAAGUGAGCCAUAGUGAGAGUAUGGACACCACAGAAAUCAACUUACAUAUCAAGGCUUUUUCUUUAUU